RNAcentral lists this ribosomal RNA (265 nucleotides) under uncultured bacterium. Its description in RNAcentral is "partial 16S ribosomal RNA". It matches the Rfam family "Bacterial small subunit ribosomal RNA", at positions 331 to 590 of the family's 1533-position model. The record is from RNAcentral.
UGGGACCUACGGGGGGCAGCAGUAGGGAAUCUUCCACAAUGGACGAAAGUCUGAUGGAGCAACGCCGCGUGAGUGAAGAAGGGUCUCGGCUCGUAAAGCUCUGUUGGUAAUGAAGAAAGAUAGAGGUAGUAACUGGCCUUUAUUUGACGGUAAUUACUUAGAAAGUCACGGCUAACUACGUGCCAGCAGCCGCGGUAGUACGUAGGGGGCAAGCGUUGUCCGGGUUUUUUGGGCGUAAAGCGAGUGCAGGCGGUUCCAUAAGUCU